UGAACAUUCGUCCCCCGCUGCUGGUUGAAUGUAACAGUAGUCUAGUCCAGGGGUACUCAACUACUAUCUGAGAGGUCCAGUCCUCCUCUGCUGGUUGGAAUGUAACAGUAGUCUAGUCCAGGGGUACUCAACUACUAUCUGAGAGGUCCAGUCCUCCUCUGCUGGUUGGAAUGUAACAGUAGUCUAGUCCAGGGGUACUCAACUACUAUCUGAGAGGUCCAGUCCUCCUCUGCUGGUUGGAAUGUAACAGUAGUCUAGUCCAGGGGUACUCAACUACUAUCUGAGAGGUCCAGUCCUCCUCUGCUGGUUGGAAUGUAACAGUAGUCUAGUCCAGGGGUACUCAACUACUAUCUGAGAGGUCCAGUCCUCCUCUGCUGGUUGGAAUGUAACAGUAGUCUAGUCCAGGGGUACUCAACUACUAUCUGAGAGGUCCAGUCCUCCUCUGCUGGUUGGAAUGUAACAGUAGUCUAGUCCAGGGGUACUCAACUACUAUCUGAGAGGUCCAGUCCUCCGCUGCUGGUUGGAAUGUAACAGUAGUCUAGUCCAGGGGUACUCAACUACUAUCUGAGAGGUCCAGUCCUCCGCUGCUGGUUGGAAUGUAACAGUAGUCUAGUCCAGGGGUACUCAACUACUAUCUGAGAGGUCCAGUCCUCCUCUGCUGGUUGGAAUGUAACAGUAGUCUAGUCCAGGGGUACUCAACUACUAUCUGAGAGGUCCAGUCCUCCGCUGCUGGUUGGAAUGUAACAGUAGUCUAGUCCAGGGGUACUCAACUACUAUCUGAGAGGUCCAGUCCUCCUCUGCUGGUUGGAAUGUAACAGUAGUCUAGUCCAGGGGUACUCAACUACUAUCUGAGAGGUCCAGUCCUCCUCUGCUGGUUGGAAUGUAACAGUAGUCUAGUCCAGGGGUACUCAACUACUAUCUGAGAGGUCCAGUCCUCCUCUGCUGGUUGGAAUGUAACAGUAGUCUAGUCCAGGGGUACUCAACUACUAUCUGAGAGGUCCAGUCCUCCUCUGCUGGUUGGAAUGUAACAGUAGUCUAGUCCAGGGGUACUCAACUACUAUCUGAGAGGUCCAGUCCUCCUCUGCUGGUUGGAAUGUAACAGUAGUCUAGUCCAGGGGUACUCAACUACUAUCUGAGAGGUCCAGUCCUCCUCUGCUGGUUGGAAUGUAACAGUAGUCUAGUCCAGGGGUACUCAACUACUAUCUGAGAGGUCCAGUCCUCCUCUGCUGGUUGGAAUGUAACAGUAGUCUAGUCCAGGGGUACUCAACUACUAUCUGAGAGGUCCAGUCCUCCUCUGCUGGUUCGAAUGUAACAGUAGUCUAGUCCAGGGGUACUCAACUACUAUCUGAGAGGUCCAGUCCUCCGCUGCUGGUUGGAAUGUAACAGUAGUCUAGUCCAGGGGUACUCAACUACUAUCUGAGAGGUCCAGUCCUCCUCUGCUGGUUGGAAUGUAACAGUAGUCUAGUCCAGGGGUACUCAACUACUAUCUGAGAGGUCCAGUGACACAAAUUCCUAGGUGGCAAAGGUCCGGAUGAAUUUCGUCCUUCAUUGGCGCUGUGGUACAGAGUAUUUAACAAACAGUCUACGACUUAGGAAACAUGUUAUAUAAAAUGUACAUUCAAAUAUAUUAAAUGAGACUAAGAAUUUGAACUAUUUACUACUUCUUUUGAAUGUAAACAUGUGCAACAUUGCAUCAACAUUGCUGAAGAACAAAAGUGGUUGCAUGAUUGUCUAUGCAAAAAGUGCACUGUGAACAACUACACAUGGGUCAUGAAUUAUUAUUAUUUUUUUAUAUAAAAUAACAUUUUCUUGAGAACAAAGGACAGGUGUACAGAAAGAAUAAUCUGAAUGCCCAGAACAUCACUGUGGGCUGUGCAACAUCCAUGUAUCAGUCAGUGUGGGCCGUGCAACAUCCAUGUAUCAGUCACUGAGGGCCGUGCAAUAUCCAUGUAUCAGUCACUGUGGGUCGUGCAAUAUUCAUGUAUCAGUCACUGUGGGCCGUGCAACAUCCAUGUAUCAGUCACUGUGGGCCGUGCAAUAUCCAUGUAUCAGUCACUGUGGGCUGUGCAACAUCCAUGUAUCAGUCACUGUGGGCUGUGCAAUAUUCAUGUAUCAGUCACUGUG
Molecule: long non-coding RNA, 2124 nt
Organism: Oncorhynchus keta (chum salmon)
Lineage: Eukaryota; Metazoa; Chordata; Actinopteri; Salmoniformes; Salmonidae
Exons: 8
Source: RefSeq, a predicted model, not a curated record